This 253-nucleotide ribosomal RNA is filed under the name uncultured bacterium. RNAcentral describes it as "partial 16S ribosomal RNA". It matches the Rfam family "Bacterial small subunit ribosomal RNA", at positions 524 to 776 of the family's 1533-position model. The record is from RNAcentral.
UACGGGGGGGGCAAGCGUUGUUCGGAAUUACUGGGCGUAAAGGGCUCGUAGGCGGCCAACUAAGUCGGAUGUGAAAUCCCCAGGCUCAACCUGGGAACUGCAUCCGAUACUGGAUGGCUUGAAUUCGGGAGAGGGAUGCAGAAUUCCAGGUGUAGCGGUGAAAUGCGUAGAUAUCUGGAGGAACACCGGUGGCGAAGGCGGCAUCCUGGACCGACACUGACGCUGAGGAGCGAAAGCCAGGGGAGCAAACGGG